This 69-nucleotide transfer RNA is filed under the name Samaris cristatus (cockatoo righteye flounder). RNAcentral describes it as "tRNA-His". It matches the Rfam family "tRNA". Rfam says of the family: Transfer RNA (tRNA) molecules are approximately 80 nucleotides in length. Their secondary structure includes four short double-helical elements and three loops (D, anti-codon, and T loops). The record is from RNAcentral. Lineage: Eukaryota; Metazoa; Chordata; Actinopteri; Pleuronectiformes; Samaridae.
GUACAUAUAGUUUAACAAAAACACUAGACUGUGGCUCUAGAGAUAAGGGUUAAAGCCCCCUUAUGAACC